Molecule: transfer RNA, 63 nt
Filed under: Heterogamodes hebraica
Lineage: Eukaryota; Metazoa; Arthropoda; Insecta; Blattodea; Corydiidae
Description: tRNA-Arg
Source: RNAcentral
AAAUAAGAAGCAAAAAUUGCAACUAGUUUCGACCUAGUCUUAGAUAUUAUACAUCCUUAUUUU